GUGGGCCCUCGAAAUCCAAGUGGCGGGAGCAUUCAGUCGGUGGAUCCUGGCGUGGCACGUGGGAUAUGUUCAGAAGGUACGCGAGACGCGGCCGUCCCUGUGCUCCGAUCCGGGUGUCCGCUGACGCAUUUGUUUCCCGUCCCGAAGGACGCCGCGACCGGUUGGUCGAAGCGGCCUUAAAGGCGAGUGUCGGCAGGUGGCCGGUGGCUUUCUGACCCUUUCCGGGGUUGGUGGCCGCCGGUUGUUAGCCUUCUCGUCGCACGGCCCGCUUCCCGACCGAGGCAAUAAAGAGGCCCCCUCUGUGGGCUUCGCCGUCUCCUCCUUAAUAGGAUGCAGGUGCACAUACGUGGCAGGGGUUCGCACGCUGGGCGGACGCACGGACUCACUCCGUGGUCUGGAUCCGGCGGCGUCCUCGUUGGCAUCCGCGUCGAUGCCUGCAGGAGUGCAUGAUGGUACGCGGCGAGUAGAUCGGUCACCCACCAGCCCCGUCUUGAAACACGGACCAAGGAGUCUAACAUGUGCGCGAGUCGUCGAGUCUCGAAUAAGCUCGAAGGCGCAAUGAAAGCAAAGGCUGGGCGGAUGCACUCCGCCUGCCGUGUUGGGAUCCCUGCACCUCCGCGUGCGGGGCGCACCAACGACACGUCCUCCUAUCCGCUCCGUCGGAUUGGGCGUAGUCUGAGCGCACACGUUGGCACCCGAAAGAUGGUGAGCUAUGCCCGGGCAGGACGAGGCCAGAGGAAACUCUGGUGGAGGUCCGUAGCGGUUCUGACGUGCAAAUCGAUCGUCAGAUCCGGGUCUAGG
This 801-nucleotide ribosomal RNA is filed under the name Turinyphia maderiana. RNAcentral describes it as "partial large subunit ribosomal RNA". The stretch from base 502 to 801 matches the Rfam family "Eukaryotic large subunit ribosomal RNA", at positions 665 to 921 of the family's 3401-position model. Lineage: Eukaryota; Metazoa; Arthropoda; Arachnida; Araneae; Linyphiidae. The record is from RNAcentral.